AGGGUAAUAGCUCAAUGGUAGAGUGCAUGCUUAGCAUGCACGAGGUCCUGGGUUCAAUCCUCAGUACCUCCA
RNAcentral lists this transfer RNA (72 nucleotides) under Camelus bactrianus (Bactrian camel). It matches the Rfam family "tRNA". Rfam says of the family: Transfer RNA (tRNA) molecules are approximately 80 nucleotides in length. Their secondary structure includes four short double-helical elements and three loops (D, anti-codon, and T loops). RNAcentral also lists the same sequence under 2 other names. The record is from Rfam by way of RNAcentral. Lineage: Eukaryota; Metazoa; Chordata; Mammalia; Artiodactyla; Camelidae.